UACGUAGGGGGCGAGCGUUGUCCGGAUUCAUUGGGCGUAAAGAGCUCGUAGGCGGUUUGGCAAGUCGGGUGUGAAAUCUCUGGGCUCAACUCAGAGAGGCCACUCGAUACUGCUAUGACUAGAGUUCGGUAGGGGAGACUGGAAUUCCUGGUGUAGCGGUGAAAUGCGCAGAUAUCAGGAGGAACACCGGUGGCGAAGGCGGGUCUCUGGGCCGAUACUGACGCUGAGGAGCGAAAGCGUGGGGAGCAAACAGG
Molecule: ribosomal RNA, 254 nt
Filed under: uncultured bacterium
Lineage: Bacteria
Description: partial 16S ribosomal RNA
Rfam family: Bacterial small subunit ribosomal RNA
Source: RNAcentral